AGAAAAAAUUAGCCAGGUGUGGUGGCACACACCUAUAGUCUCAGCUACUUGGGAGGCCAAGGCAGGAGGAUCACUUGAGCCCAGGAGUUUGAGCUAUGACAUCACUGCACCACUCUAGUAGCCCAGGCAACCGUGCAAGACCCUGUCUCAAAAAAUGAAAGCACGCUGGCCUUGCCUCGACUUCUGCUGCUGCCUCCAGUUCCUGGCAGCAGCCUGUAGGGAGGCCCACAGGUGACGCCCAAAGUAGAGCUGGGCACCAGCUAUUUGAGUGACACCUUUGAUCUGAUA
Small nucleolar RNA from Prolemur simus (greater bamboo lemur), 288 nucleotides. The record is from Ensembl. Lineage: Eukaryota; Metazoa; Chordata; Mammalia; Primates; Lemuridae.